CAGCCGCCGCGGGAAAACGAAGGGUGCAAGCGUUACUCGGAAUUACUGGGCGUAAAGCGUGCCUAGGUGGUGGUUUAAGUCCGUUGUGAAAGCCCUGGGCUCAACCUGGGAAUUGCAGUGGAUACUGGGUCACUAGAGUGUGGUAGAGGAUAGUGGAAUUUCCGGUGUAGCAGUGAAAUGCGUAGAGAUCGGAAGGAACAUCUGUGGCGAAGGCGACUAUCUGGGCCAACACUGACACUGAGGCACGAAAGCGUGGGGAGCAAACAGGAUUAGAUACCCCUGUAGUCCCUGUCUCUUAUAC
Molecule: ribosomal RNA, 301 nt
Filed under: uncultured bacterium
Lineage: Bacteria
Description: partial 16S ribosomal RNA
Rfam family: Bacterial small subunit ribosomal RNA
Source: RNAcentral